RNAcentral lists this long non-coding RNA (2882 nucleotides) under Sorghum bicolor (sorghum). RNAcentral describes it as "long non-coding RNA (SBIC_LNC005860)". Lineage: Eukaryota; Viridiplantae; Streptophyta; Magnoliopsida; Poales; Poaceae. The record is from RNAcentral.
UCCUUUUUCGAUAAUAAUUCAUGGAGAGUGAUUGGAUGAGACAUUUUCAAGUACGUGUAGCACCUAGAAGGUUCACGUAUAUAGAUCACCAACGCCACCUUCUCCACUCCAUACACACACAGCACAAGUAACGGUACAGUACGGGAUGUACACGUACUACCUACAGCACAAAUAAAAGACAGGCAGCUAGCGCGCAUGUAUCAUCUCACCACAGUUAUUAACAAAUUAUAAGCUAAUAAGCUCCUUUACUACACCGAAAUUAAACAACAAGUACACAGCUGAGCAAUUCUCUCUUGUCCGCCGGACUGCCGGAGCGUGCUGCGGCGUGCAUGCCUGCCUAGUCGCAGCACAUCUCGCAGAUCCAGCAGCAGCAGAGCGCCGCGAUGCUGAAACCAAAGCAGGGACAAGUCAGUUGAUCCAUCAGGUUUUGGUUCCAAAACAAAGCUAGCUUCCAGUUUUGUUAUUAUCAGAGAUACUACUGACGACGACAUGGAUAUAUAACACUGACUCCUAAACAAUCGGAUUCUGUUUAUCGUUGUUAUUAGUUGGGAAUUAACCAGAAGAAGAUCGAUUACAGUAAUUACCAUCCUUCGAUGAAGCCUUUCUCCCCACGCGAGGUCGUCUUCCCCCGGCGUCCCUUCCUGCCUCCCUGCUCCUCCGCGCCUGCAGCCGCCGUCGGGUAGCCUGCAUGCCAUGUCAGGUCAGCAUGUGUCCAUCCACCGUUCCACACGCAUGAUGAUUCAUGAAUAUGAAUGAACAAGCUAAGAACAAUCCAGCCAUGAUGAAAUUGAUCAAAGGUUUUGUUGGUUGUCGGAUAUGCUAGCCAUUUACUAGUGUUUUUCUCUCGCAACAAAUCAGCAAACAAUAUUUUCAGCCAUGUUAUGCGGACUCGGACUCGGAGAUAAUAAUCGGAUCCUCUGACCUGGUGGUGGCGGCGGCGCCUGCUGCCUGUUGCCGUUGUUCUCCAUCUUUGUCUCCUCGCUUCUAUCUAGCUAGAGCACGCUCGGCGAUGCUGUAGUGAUCAGCAGUGGAUUUCAGCUCUCACGGUCGGGUAUGGUGCGUGGUUUGCCUGCUUGGUGGUGUUGCCACGCCCCGGGUUUUAUAUAGGCUACGCGCUACCUGCAAUCCAGCUGCAGGGGCAGUGUCCAAUGUGUUGGUUGCUGCUACGUUCUUUCCUUGCCGGUUGCCGCCUUGGUUUUCUUCAAGGUAAGGUCAAGAUAAGGCCAGCCUGCUGUGUGACCACUGACCAAUGGAGAGGCAAGGGUCGGCGAAGGCUGUCAUCGUUUGCCUUUCCCUUUCCAGCACGUCUCGCUCGGCAUGCAGUCAGAGAUUGACAACUCGCUGAUUCCCUGUUUGACACACAAGGCAAAUAAAGUGGCAGGGCUUAGCAGCUUCGUUCUUCGACGAUUUUAACAAAGAAUACGUGUGUGUUCUGCUGUUAAUUACUUACACUUGUCUCCUGCCCUAGCCUUUUGCUUUCGCAAAGAGAUCAGAAACAAAACGAAUAAAGCCCUGCUAGCCAUCGGGCCUACACGCAUGCAAUGGCCAAGUUAAGUCUGUCCGGCGAUGCGGUUCGUUCGUCGAUCGGUGGCUGCUGGCUCCGGCUGCGCCGGCUGGCCGGAGGAAACAGCGCAAAGCUCCGGCAGUGGCACGUCACAAAGCCCUGCCACUGACCUUGGAGCUGCGCCUUUCUCAUGCAAGCCUGACGUGGAUGAGAUAUUCAGAUCAUGAAGAAUCAGGUUCCGUCCAGAAUGGAGAGGAAAGGAUGAGAUGCAAAGUGCAACCUUUGCUUGUUCACACCAGAUCAUGUUGGCCUGGCCUGGCCUGGUUGUUGUUGUUGGUUAGACAAAGCGGAUUGAAUUAAUUGUUUUCCUCUCAUCUGAUGAUCCAACCUCUCCCCAACUACUGUAUGAACUAUUUAUUCCCCGAGACCGAGCACAGGGGAUCCUAUAUAUCUCUUUUUUGUUAUUAUUGUUGUUGUCUCGAUCGAUCGGCUAGCUUCUUCCACAUCAGUAGGCCGUCAUCGCUGUGCAUUCGUCGUACGUACAAUGCAACGGUGACCUGAAGAAACGGUUGGUUCCUGAUCGUGAUCGAUGACCCAACCGGGUUAAAGAAAACCCAGGCAGGUCGAGUGUGAAGUGAACCUGUGCUUCACCCGUCCGUGUCUGAUCUGACUGGAAUUGCAGCGACCACUGGUGCCAUGCAUCUCCAAUUCUCCAUAGCACAGUAGCUUUCAUUUCAUGGAUCCAUGGCUGCGCUGCGCAUCAGAAACUUUGCCGUUAGGUGCCAUGAAGAUCGAAAUCUGAACUCGGAAUUCCCCGACCUGGAUGGACGGCCUUUCGGCUGUCGGCCACGGCAUAUGCUCACCUCGAUCCAUCGCGCAAUUCCCGCCAUCCAGUGAAUCCGUUCGGCCUAGGGCGGUACCGACGUAAAUCUCUGACAUUCUGCCCGAGAACUUGAAAGUUUUGUGAAAAAUUGAUUGAAACUUGAAAAAUCCGAAUGGAUCUUAUUCCGAAUAAAAACGAAAUUGCUGAUAUGCCCAUUUGUUCUUAUCCUAAUGAUGAGAUGCGGAAAUUAUAUUUACCCUGUAGCGUCCGAGACACAUGAAGACAGCCAAAGCAGAGGGAGACCAAGAGCGACACGGAGCCCUCAGGAUGCGACCAGACCAACCAUGGACGUGCCCUGCGGCCGGCCGGCCGGCGGCGGCUUGGCGCCCGCUGGAACCUGCAUGCACGCGGAGCGCGACGGCGGGGAGAUGCCGUGCCGCCGUUCGCCGUCGGUCUCGAACCCCACGAAGUCAGGUACAUGCAUUCAGUCCAGCAGUGGUAUGGUAUAUGGUUGCAGUUCGGUUGCACGGGUCAGUCAAAGGAUCAACGUUCGGU